UGAGGAAUAUUGGUCAAUGGGCGAGAGCCUGAACCAGCCAAGUAGCGUGCAGGAUGACGGCCCUAUGGGUUGUAAACUGCUUUUGUAUGGGGAUAAAGUCAAUCACGUGUGAUUGUUUGCAGGUACCAUACGAAUAAGGACCGGCUAAUUCCGUGCCAGCAGCCGCGGUAAUACGGAAGGUUCGGGCGUUAUCCGGAUUUAUUGGGUUUAAAGGGAGCGUAGGCCGGAGAUUAAGUGUGUUGUGAAAUGUAGACGCUCAACGUCUGACUUGCAGCGCAUACUGGUUUCCUUGAGUACGCACAACGUUGGCGGAAUUCGUCGUGUAGCGGUGAAAUGCUUAGAUAUGACGAAGAACUCCGAUUGCGAAGGCAGCUGACGGGAGCGCCACUGACGCUUAAGCUCGAAGGUGCGGGUAUCGAACAGGAUUAGAUACCCUGGUAGUCCGCACAGUAAACGAUGGAUGCCCGCUGUUGGUACCUAGUAUCAGCGGCUAAGCGAAAGCAUUAAGCAUCCCACCUGGGGAGUACGCCGGCAACGGU
Molecule: ribosomal RNA, 539 nt
Filed under: uncultured bacterium
Lineage: Bacteria
Description: bacterial SSU rRNA
Rfam family: Bacterial small subunit ribosomal RNA
Source: RNAcentral